CCAGAGUAUCAAUUGGAGGGCAAGUCUGGUGCCAGCAGCCGCGGUAAUUCCAGCUCCAAUAGCGUAUAUUAAACUUGUUGCAGUUAAAAAGCUCGUAGUUGAAUUUCUGCUGCAUCGUGGUUCUUCGCUAUGUCGAGUGGUCUUCGUUGUGGCUUAGUUGGGGCAUGUUUUCAUGACUCGACGUUUACUUUGAGAAAAUUAGAGUGCU
Molecule: ribosomal RNA, 208 nt
Filed under: Theileria equi
Lineage: Eukaryota; Apicomplexa; Aconoidasida; Piroplasmida; Theileriidae
Description: partial small subunit ribosomal RNA
Rfam family: Eukaryotic small subunit ribosomal RNA
Source: RNAcentral